This 274-nucleotide ribosomal RNA is filed under the name uncultured bacterium. RNAcentral's name for it is "partial 16S ribosomal RNA". It matches the Rfam family "Bacterial small subunit ribosomal RNA", at positions 523 to 796 of the family's 1533-position model. The record is from RNAcentral.
AUACGAAGGGUGCGAGCGUUAAUCGGAAUUACUGGGCGUAAAGCGCGCGUAGGCGGUUGGAUAAGUCGGAUGUGAAAGCCCCGGGCUCAACCUGGGAAUUGCAUUCGAAACUGUCCGGCUAGAGUAUGGUAGAGGGAAGCGGAAUUCCACAUGUAGCGGUGAAAUGCGUAGAUAGGUGGAGGAACACCAGUGGCGAAGGCGGCUUCCUGGACCAAUACUGACGCUGAGGUGCGAAAGCGUGGGGAGCAAACAGGAUUAGAAACCCUAGUAGUCC